This 380-nucleotide long non-coding RNA is filed under the name Homo sapiens (human). RNAcentral's name for it is "HSALNT0260698". The record is from RNAcentral. Lineage: Eukaryota; Metazoa; Chordata; Mammalia; Primates; Hominidae.
GUAUGAGUAUUCUGCGGGAAAAGGGGGAGAGGGGCCACUUCGGUCUCCGCCCCUCCCACUUUGGGAAAAUGAGCGGGGUUGGGGGGGCGACUCGGGGAGUCAUUUUGGCUGCACCCAUAGGCUGGAGAGCCAAAUCUGGGGCGCGGGGUACAGAGGCGAAAUAAAGAAGGGGAACAGAAAAGAGGAAUGCCUGCUGGGGAAGAGUUUGGUUGUCAAUCCGGUCUGCAUCUCCCUUGGGUCUUCUGGGUCUGCCAUGCGCUGCCUGCAACCCCCAAGUCCGCCGCCAGGGGCCGCCGAAGCUCUGUCCUUGCAGCUGGCUCUAGGGUCGAACCCCAGGGUGAGGAGAGGAGGGGAAACGGGGAGGCUAGGCAUGACCUUUU